This 564-nucleotide ribosomal RNA is filed under the name uncultured bacterium. RNAcentral describes it as "bacterial SSU rRNA". It matches the Rfam family "Bacterial small subunit ribosomal RNA", at positions 338 to 915 of the family's 1533-position model. The record is from RNAcentral.
CCUACGGGAGGCAGCAGUAGGGAAUUUUCCACAAUGGGCGAAAGCCUGAUGGAGCAAUACCGCGUGCAGGAUGAAGGCCUUCGGGUCGUAAACUGCUUUUAUGUGCGAAGAAUUUGACGGUAACACAUGAAUAAGGAUCGGCUAACUACGUGCCAGCAGCCGCGGUCAUACGUAGGAUCCAAGCGUUAUCCGGAAUUACUGGGCGUAAAGAGUUGCGUAGGUGGCAUUAUAAGUGGAGCGUGAAAGCGUGCGGCUCAACCGCAUUAUUGCGUUCCAAACUGUGAAGCUUGAGUAUGGGAGAGGUAGAUGGAAUUUCUAGUGUAGGAGUGAAAUCCGUAGAUAUUAGAAGGAACACCGAUGGCGUAGGCAGUCUACUGGCCCAUUACUGACACUAAGGCACGAAAGCGUGGGGAGCAAACGGGAUUAGAUACCCCGGUAGUCCACGCUGUAAACUAUGGAUGCUAGCUAGUGACACACAUCGACCUGUGUCGUAGCGAAGUUAACGCGUUAAAGCAUCCGCCUGGGGAGUACGGUCGCGAAGGUUAAAACUCAAAUGAAUUGACG